RNAcentral lists this ribosomal RNA (382 nucleotides) under uncultured eukaryote. RNAcentral describes it as "partial 18S ribosomal RNA". It matches the Rfam family "Eukaryotic small subunit ribosomal RNA", at positions 592 to 976 of the family's 1831-position model. The record is from RNAcentral.
UGUAAGCGUAUACCAAAGUUGUUGCAGUUAAAACGCUCGUAGUCGGAAUUUGGCAGUUCCGGAUGUGUGCACGUCGUGUGCGCACUUCGCGGGGAUUGCUUUUGUGGUCUUGCGUAGGAUGAGGCACUUUUAUUAGUGAACGUCCUCACGCAACCACUUUUUACUGUGAGAAAAUCAGAGUGCUCAAAGCAGGCAUUUGCCGUGAAUGUAUUAGCAUGGAAUAAUAGAAUAGGACUUGGUUCUAUUUUGUUGGUUUGUUGGGACUGAGUAAUGAUUAAGAGGGACAGUUGCGGGCAUUUGUAUUUCGGUGCUAGAGGUGAAAUUCUUAGAUUACCGAAAGACAAACUGCUGCGAAAGCGUCUGCCAAGGAUGUUUUCAUUGA